UACGAAGGGGGCUAGCGUUGCUCGGAAUCACUGGGCGUAAAGGGCUCGUAGGCGGCCAACUAAGUCGGAUGUGAAAUCCCCAAGCUUAACUUGGGAACUGCAUCCGAUACUGGAUGGCUUGAAUCCGGGAGAGGGAUGCAGAAUUCCAGGUGUAGCGGUGAAAUGCGUAGAUAUCAGGAAGAACACCGGUGGCGAAAGCGCUCUGCUGGACCUUAACUGACACUGAGGGACGAAAGCUAGGGGAGCGAAUGGG
This 253-nucleotide ribosomal RNA is filed under the name uncultured bacterium. RNAcentral describes it as "partial 16S ribosomal RNA". It matches the Rfam family "Bacterial small subunit ribosomal RNA", at positions 524 to 776 of the family's 1533-position model. The record is from RNAcentral.